This 496-nucleotide ribosomal RNA is filed under the name uncultured bacterium. RNAcentral describes it as "partial 16S ribosomal RNA". It matches the Rfam family "Bacterial small subunit ribosomal RNA", at positions 29 to 507 of the family's 1533-position model. The record is from RNAcentral.
AUGAACGCUGGCGGCGUGCCUAAUACCUGCCGGUCGAGCGCACGGACGAGAAGCUUGCUUCUCUGAUGUUAGCGGCGGACGGGUGAGUAACACGUGGAUAACCUACCUAUAAGACUGGGAUAACUUCGGGAAACCGGAGCUAAUACCGGAUAAUAUUUUGAACCGCAUGGUUCAAAAGUGAAAGACGGUCUUGCUGUCACUUAUAGAUGGAUCCGCGCUGCAUUAGCUAGUUGGUAAGGUAACGGCUUACCAAGGAAACGAUGCAUAGCCGACCUGAGAGGGUGAUCGGCCACACUGGAACUGAGACACGGUCCAGACUCCUACGGGAGGCAGCAGUAGGGAAUCUUCCGCAAUGGGCGAAAGCCUGACGGAGCAACGCCGCGUGAGUGAUGAAGGUCUUCGGAUCGUAAAACUCUGUUAUUAGGGAAGAACAUAUGUGUAAGUAACUGUGCACAUCUUGACGGUACCUAAUCAGAAAGCCACGGCUAACUACGUG